CUCCACCCCCUCCAUAAUCCCAUCCCCUUCAUCUCCCCCACGUCUCCUCAUAUCUCUUUGUAUGAUUUUCGUCCCCAUUUAACUCUUACCCUAGUAGUAUCUGCCUACAUCUAUCAUGAUAUAUCAUUUCUCUUUUUUUCCUCCUCUCUCUCUCUCCCUCUUAAACACACAAUCCAAAAUGUUUGAUUUUCUUCGAGGCCUUUUUUUUUUAAUAGCUUAACAACUUUAAGAGACUAAAACUGUAAUAAUGUUUCAUUUUAAGACCUAAUGCCAUUUCUCGUGCCUCUUUUGCUUCGGUACAAAUCCCAUACCGGAUCUCAUUGUGUUUAUGUAGUAGUGGUUUCUUUUUAAUUUUAUGAAGAACAUUUAAAUAUAUUUUGUUUAUGUUUCUUUAAUUUUUGAGAGGUUAAGUACUCAAUUUGACAUUUCUUGCUCUUAAUUCUUGUGGUUAUUUGCAGCCAAAGAGGAAUUGGGAAUAUCUGUUGUGUUAAAUCGAGUAAGUAUUUUAUUUACAAGUACUUAUUUCUUAUUCUAUUGUUUGCUUCACUAAUUAAUAAUUAAUUUAUGACUAACGUUUAAUAUUUUUUUCUAAAUUAUGAUAUCAAAAAGUACGGCUAAAAUUAUGUAACUUUUUUUCACAGGUUCAUGAACGCGGAAGUUAAUGAAGAGUAAAUUUAAAAUAGAUAAGUGGUUACAUUAGAAUUAUUCUUGUAAUUCCGAUUAGAUUUUCAUGUUGGAUAGAUUUUACUUUAUUUAUGUAUUUUAAUUUACGGAGUUUGUAAUGAGAUAUUAUCUCAAUAUAGUAUUAGUUGCUUAGAAUUAUAUGAUCGUGGAU
Molecule: long non-coding RNA, 835 nt
Filed under: Nicotiana tabacum (common tobacco)
Lineage: Eukaryota; Viridiplantae; Streptophyta; Magnoliopsida; Solanales; Solanaceae
Description: long non-coding RNA (NTAB_LNC002328)
Source: RNAcentral